RNAcentral lists this non-coding RNA (27 nucleotides) under Cricetulus griseus (Chinese hamster). The record is from RNAcentral. Lineage: Eukaryota; Metazoa; Chordata; Mammalia; Rodentia; Cricetidae.
UAUGUCAGAUGAUGAACAGGAAAGUGG